This 438-nucleotide ribosomal RNA is filed under the name uncultured soil bacterium. RNAcentral describes it as "bacterial SSU rRNA". It matches the Rfam family "Bacterial small subunit ribosomal RNA", at positions 26 to 456 of the family's 1533-position model. The record is from RNAcentral.
AGAGUGAACGCUGGCGGUAGGCCUAACACAUGCAAGUCGAACGGCAGCACAGGAGAGCUUGCUCUCUGGGUGGCGAGUGGCGGACGGGUGAGGAAUACAUCGGAAUCUACCUUUUCGUGGGGGAUAACGUAGGGAAACUUACGCUAAUACCGCAUAAGACCUUCGGGUGAAAGCCGGGGACCUUCGGGCCUGGCGCGGAUAGAUGAGCCGAUGUCGGAUUAGCUUGUUGGCGGGUAAAAGCCCACCAAGGCGACGAUCCGUAGCUGGUCUGAGAGGAUGAUCAGCCACACUGGAACUGAGACACGGUCCAGACUCCGUACGGGAGGCAGCAGUGGGGAAUAUUGGACAAGUGGGCGCAAGCCUGAUCCAGCCAUACCGCGUGGGUAGAAGGAAGGCCGUUCGGUUGUUAAAGUCCCCUUUUUAGGUAGGUAAAAGAAA